CUGGUGGCUUCCCCCCCUACGCACCCAACUACUCCUCCUGGUUAGACUGCUGGAGCCAGCUGCUCAAGGAGGGGAACAUGAACCGAGGCAAUAGCCUGUUUUUCUGGAAGGUGCCUGCGGGGAAGCUGUACGUGUGGGAAGAUAAGCGGUUCCGCUGAGGCCGGAGCUGGGCGAGGGGCCCGGGGCCGGGCCAGAUGCACUGAAUGAUGGGGGAGUGGUGAUUUCUAUACAGUUUUUUAAAU
This is a non-coding RNA of Chrysemys picta bellii (western painted turtle), 242 nucleotides long. NCBI's taxonomy places the organism in Eukaryota, Metazoa, Chordata, Testudines, Emydidae. The record is from RefSeq and is a predicted model, not a curated record.